Molecule: long non-coding RNA, 1280 nt
Organism: Alexandromys fortis (reed vole)
Lineage: Eukaryota; Metazoa; Chordata; Mammalia; Rodentia; Cricetidae
Exons: 8
Source: RefSeq, a predicted model, not a curated record
GUUUGAAUUGCCGUCUCUUCUCUACUCCAGUUUUCCCCCAGGCCCUGUCUCUCAUCAUAUGAUUCUUUCAACUUCGCCAUGGGCUUGGGCUGAUAGUGAGGAGAACCCUUGCCUUAGCAGGACUCCCUGAGUUCUCCAUCUAAUGUGUGGCUGUGGGACCCUACAUCUGCUCCCAACAGUUGCUGGAUAAAGUCUCUCUGGCCUCUUUGAUGAGGAGUCUGCUGGGAUCUGGUUCCAUCACACUCUGCAGGCAGGACAAACUUCUUUUCAACCAAUACAGUCCAGCUACAUUGAAGGUGUACCUGGUCCUUGCUCAGGUUAUAUCAAACCUUGUGACUCCUGUCAUGAUAUUGUGACUUUGAUGGAGCAAGUGGCUGUGGCAAGAAACGGAGGGCAGCUUUGGCCAGCAAAUAACAGAAGCCUCUGUUUGAAUGUUCCCAUGGCCUUUGAGGGACUGAAUCUUGCAAGUAUGUAAGUGCACCAUGUAUAUGUCUGGCGCCCACAGAAGUCAUGAGUCUCUUGGCGCUAUGGAGCUGGAAUUACCGACAGCUGUGAAUCACCAUGAGAGCUUUACUGAUUUCAUCACUUUUCCACAAAUGGUCACUGGCUGCCAAAAUAUCAAGAGCUCCUGGAUUAGAUUGAUAAACAUCUCUGCUUCUCCGUGACUCGACUCCGUGAGACGACUCCGUGACUCGGUUAUUCGGAUGUGUUCUGAGGGGUUGCUUGUUCCGCGGAUUUUGCUGGACCCAGAGAGGGAAUUACUGAAUCUUCUGAGAACCAUGUCUUCUGCCCGAUGAGUGACCUUCUUGGUGUGGCGCCAUGCCUCAGGGGUGGUUAGAGACAGUCAGGAGUCUUCUCAAUAGGGGAACUACCCAUUGGAACGGUUGAUUUACCACCUGUACCCCCAAGUUCCACCACGAACUGACGAAGGAGUCACUGCAGGGGCAUUGCCUGCAGUAAACCAUUCCCCUCACAGGACACAGAAUGGGAGUCACCACGUUAAAGAAGAGAAGUGAAGAACAAGAAGAAAGGAGGCGCGUGCCUUAAAGAGUAGAGAAGAGAGCCUGUGAGAGUAGAGGAUUGACCUGAAGCAGGACGGAUGGAGUAGAAGUUUGGCCAACAGGAAGCUCUGUAUAUACACGAGUCAUCAUCGUUUUGGGAAUUGAAUUGCUUUUCUAAUUAUAAAAUUGAUAUACAUAAAAUCAUUUUGAAAAGAAAAUUUUGGAAAAUGUCUCAAAGCAAUAAAUAAAUGAAUAAAUAAAUAAACGUGAAAUUUCAUA